RNAcentral lists this ribosomal RNA (207 nucleotides) under uncultured bacterium. RNAcentral describes it as "partial 16S ribosomal RNA". It matches the Rfam family "Bacterial small subunit ribosomal RNA", at positions 568 to 774 of the family's 1533-position model. The record is from RNAcentral.
GGUGUAGGCGGAACGGUAAGUACCUUGUGAAAGCCCCGGGCUCAACCCGGGAAUUGCUCGGUAUACUAUCGUUCUUGAGGCAGGUAGGGGUCACUGGAACCUUAGGUGGAGCGGUGAAAUGCGUAGAUAUCUAAGGGAACGCCUGUGGCGAAAGCGGGUGACUGGGCCUGUACUGACGCUGAGACCCGAAAGCGUAGGGAGCGAACG